CGUCGUUGUCGCUGUUUUUAGCGCCUCAGAAGCCUAAACUUCGUGCGAACAAUAUGCAGAAGCCUGACUUCGAAACUGAAGUGGGUUUUUUUUGUCUCCAGAAGCCCACGGAGUGAAGGUAGUCAUAUGCAUUUCCACGGCUUCUUACGCGAAACAGGCGAGGCCAUCUCCUAAGAGGAGCUCCCAUAUGGCAAGAUGAAAUUUUUCAGGGGCAGAACCGGAAUUGGAGAGCAGUGACAUGACUGACUCUUAAGACCAGCUCUGCUUAAUGAGAGGGCCAAGCCACGAGGAAGGGGCAAGGCAAACGGAGGGACCAGAGUGGAAAGUUCUUAGGCUUUUACUGAAAAUAUGUUGAAACCUGGGUCAUUAUCUUAAGUGCCUGGCCCCAGAAUCCGAUCUGAGACAAAAAUAUGAAUGCAAGCAGUCUAUCUGGCAGGUGAAACGAGAAGGAUGGAAAUCAAUAGAGAGUACCAAUGAGCAAAUUACCCUAAGAACAGUAGGAGCUCAGUCUUCUUGAGAACUCUGGAAGACUGCCUAGAAAUCACCACCAGUGUCCCACUCAAAGCCUAAUGAAGCUGACUUAAGAUAAACUGACGAAACCGCACAAUUGGAAAAUUGCCACUCAACCACAUGAUAGCAGAAAUAGGACAAUUCAGGAAAGAGAAAAGAUGGAAAUAUUAAAAACUGCCAUCAGUAAAGACUGCUGAAAGCUCUGUGAGGAUAUUGUUAUCACCACCAUGUGAGGAAAAACUUCAGGUGAAGUGACCUGUCCACAAUCAUUCGGUUACCUUAGUCAGCAAAGCGACAAGGAGUCAGAGAUAGAUGUUCCUCGUUUAACAACUUACCUGUUUAAUGACUGUUAGGCGUGCUGUUUGGACUGACAACCCACCGCUCAGACUUUCAACCAAUUUUUUAAAUACAGUUCUGUGCAUUUUGUUUAUAGAGCCUCAACAUCCUUUUUUGCACAGUAUACCUUGUUUAUACAGUACUCUAAUUUUUUGCUGAUAGUACCAUGUAGUGCUGUCAUUUUAUGUUCU
Molecule: long non-coding RNA, 1037 nt
Organism: Heterocephalus glaber (naked mole-rat)
Lineage: Eukaryota; Metazoa; Chordata; Mammalia; Rodentia; Bathyergidae
Source: Ensembl